UUCGGAAUGAAGUUUUUGUGACUGAGUGGCGGACGGGUGAGUAACGCGUGGGUAACCUGCCUCAUACAGGGGGAUAACAGUUGGAAACGACUGCUGAUACCGCAUAAGCGCACAGGAUUGCAUGAUCCAGUGUAGAAAAACUCCGGUGGUAUGAGAUGGACCCGCGUCUGAUUGGCCAGUUGGCGGGGUAACGGCCCACCAAGCCGACGAUGCAUAGCCGGCCUGAGAGGGCGGACGGCCACAUUGGGACUGAGACACGGCCCAAACUCC
Molecule: ribosomal RNA, 270 nt
Filed under: uncultured Lachnospiraceae bacterium
Lineage: Bacteria; Bacillati; Bacillota; Clostridia; Lachnospirales; Lachnospiraceae
Description: partial 16S ribosomal RNA
Rfam family: Bacterial small subunit ribosomal RNA
Source: RNAcentral